RNAcentral lists this ribosomal RNA (257 nucleotides) under uncultured bacterium. Its description in RNAcentral is "partial 16S ribosomal RNA". It matches the Rfam family "Bacterial small subunit ribosomal RNA", at positions 524 to 776 of the family's 1533-position model. The record is from RNAcentral.
UACGAAGGGUGCAAACGUUGCUCGGAAUUAUUGGGCGUAAAGCGCACGUAGGCGGCUUAGCAAGUCGGAUGUGAAAAGCCCUCGGCUCAACCAAGGAAGUGCAUCCGAAACUGCUGAGCUUGAGUACUUAAGAGGAUCGCGGAAUUCCCGGUGUAGAGGUGAAAUUCGUAGAUAUCGGGAGGAACACCAGUGGCGAAGGGCGGCGAUCUGGGGAAGAUACUGACGCUGAGGUGCGAAAAGCGUGGGGAGCAAACAGG